AUUGAACGCUUGCGGCAGGCCUAACACAUGCAAGUCGAGCGGAUGAAGGGAGCUUGCUCCUGGAUUCAGCGGCGGACGGGUGAGUAAUGCCUAGGAAUCUGCCUGGUAGUGGGGGAUAACGUUCGGAAACGGGCGCUAAUACCGCAUACGUCCUGAGGGAGAAAGUGGGGGAUCUUCGGACCUCACGCUAUCAGAUGAGCCUAGGUCGGAUUAGCUAGUUGGUGGGGUAAAGGCCUACCAAGGCGACGAUCCGUAACUGGUCUGAGAGGAUGAUCAGUCACACUGGAACUGAGACACGGUCCAGACUCCUACGGGAGGCAGCAGUGGGGAAUAUUGGACAAUGGGCGAAAGCCUGAUCCAGCCAUGCCGCGUGUGUGAAGAAGGUCUUCGGAUUGUAAAGCACUUUAAGUUGGGAGGAGGGGCAGUAAGUUAAUACCUUGCUGUUUUGACGUUACCAACAGAAUAAGCACCGGCUAACUUCGUG
RNAcentral lists this ribosomal RNA (484 nucleotides) under uncultured bacterium. RNAcentral's name for it is "partial 16S ribosomal RNA". It matches the Rfam family "Bacterial small subunit ribosomal RNA", at positions 30 to 507 of the family's 1533-position model. The record is from RNAcentral.